Molecule: ribosomal RNA, 492 nt
Filed under: uncultured bacterium
Lineage: Bacteria
Description: partial 16S ribosomal RNA
Rfam family: Bacterial small subunit ribosomal RNA
Source: RNAcentral
UGUGAACGCUGGCGGUAGGCCUAACACAUGCAAGUCGAACGGCAGCACAGUAAGAGCUUGCUCUUACGGGUGGCGAGUGGCGGACGGGUGAGGAAUACAUCGGAAUCUACUUUUUCGUGGGGGAUAACGUAGGGAAACUUACGCUAAUACCGCAUACGACCUACGGGUGAAAGCAGGGGAUCUUCGGACCUUGCGCGAUUGAAUGAGCCGAUGUCGGAUUAGCUAGUUGGCGGGGUAAGGGCCCACCAAGGCGACGAUCCGUAGCUGGUCUGAGAGGAUGAUCAGCCACACUGGAACUGAGACACGGUCCAGACUCCUACGGGAGGCAGCAGUGGGGAAUAUUGGACAAUGGGCGCAAGCCUGAUCCAGCCAUACCGCGUGGGUGAAGAAGGCCUUCGGGUUGUAAAGCCCUUUUGUUGGGAAAGAAAAGCAGCAGGUUAAUACCCCGCUGUUCUGACGGUACCCAAAGAAUAAGCACCGGCUAACUUCGUG